CUGGUUGAUCCUGCCAGUAGUCAUAUGCUUGUCUCAAAGAUUAAGCCAUGCAUGUCUUAGUGUAAAUAACUCUUAUGAAACUGCGAAUGGCUCAUUAAAUCAGUUAUCGUUUAUUUGAUGGUCUCUUACUACAUGGAUAACCGUAGUAAUUCUAGAGCUAAUACAUGCACAAAGGCUCGACUCACGGAGAGCUGUAUUUAUUAGAUUCAAAGCCGACCUUGUUUUGGUGAUUCAUAAUAACUUGUCGAACCAUAUGCCCUUGCGGUGAUGGUGAUUCAUUAAAAUUUCUUCUCUAUCAACU
This 301-nucleotide ribosomal RNA is filed under the name uncultured eukaryote. RNAcentral's name for it is "SSU rRNA". It matches the Rfam family "Eukaryotic small subunit ribosomal RNA", at positions 4 to 320 of the family's 1831-position model. The record is from RNAcentral.